Molecule: unclassified non-coding RNA, 338 nt
Filed under: uncultured Acremonium
Lineage: Eukaryota; Fungi; Ascomycota
Description: sequence contains ITS1
Rfam family: 5.8S ribosomal RNA (bases 1-105)
Source: RNAcentral
GAAACGCGAUAAGUAAUGUGAAUUGCAGAAUUCAGUGAAUCAUCGAAUCUUUGAACGCACAUGGCGCCCCCUGGUAUUCCGGGGGGCAUGCCUGUCCGAGCGUCGUUUCAACCCUCCGGAAGGGUCGUCUUAGGGCGGCCCCGCUCCGGGCGUUGGGGAUCUGCGAACGUAGCAGGCCCCGAAAAUCAGCGGCGGACCCGCGCGGCCCCUCCCUUGCGUAGUAGCAUCAGCCUCGCAUCGGUGACCCGCGGGACUCCGGCCCCUAAACCCCCCAACAAGCCCGGCCUGGCCGGCACAAGGUUGACCUCGGAUCAGGUAGGAAUACCCGCUGAACUUAA